UACAAUCAACCAUUCCUUUGAAUUUCCUGCGUCCAUUCCCUACAAUAGCCAAAUUGCUUUCUUGGGUUUGUAACUGUUAACGCUAGCAAGAGACAGAUCAAGAAGAUGUUUUAUUAAGCUGCAGCAGUGGCUAUUAAAUAGCCUUACACCGUGACAAAGGAAAAUAACAAACUCACGAUUUUACAGGAUGCAAUCGUGGUUAACAAAGGGAAAGAAACGUGUUCCUCAAACCAGAGAGGAAUUAUUCAACAUAACUAAAAAUAAUCCUAAGACUCAGGAAACAAUCUGGAAUAUUUCAACAUUUUAUCA
This 309-nucleotide long non-coding RNA is filed under the name Populus trichocarpa (black cottonwood). RNAcentral describes it as "long non-coding RNA (PTRI_LNC003996)". The record is from RNAcentral. Lineage: Eukaryota; Viridiplantae; Streptophyta; Magnoliopsida; Malpighiales; Salicaceae.